Molecule: ribosomal RNA, 458 nt
Filed under: uncultured Geothermobacter sp.
Lineage: Bacteria; Pseudomonadati; Thermodesulfobacteriota; Desulfuromonadia; Desulfuromonadales; Geothermobacteraceae
Description: bacterial SSU rRNA
Rfam family: Bacterial small subunit ribosomal RNA
Source: RNAcentral
ACAAGCGGUGGAGCAUGUGGUUUAAUUCGACGCAACGCGAAGAACCUUACCUGGUUUGACAUCCCGAUCGUACUCUAUGGAAACAUAGGGGUCAGUUCGGCUGGAUCGGUGACAGGUGCUGCAUGGCUGUCGUCAGCUCGUGUCGUGAGAUGUUGGGUUAAGUCCCGCAACGAGCGCAACCCUUGUCCUUAGUUGCCACCAUUCAGUUGGGCACUCUAAGGAGACUGCCGGUGUUAAACCGGAGGAAGGUGGGGAUGACGUCAAGUCCUCAUGGCCCUUAUAUCCAGGGCUACACACGUGCUACAAUGGCCGGUACAAAGGGUCGCAAUACCGCGAGGUGGAGCUAAUCCCAUAAAGCCAGUCGUAGUCCGGAUCGUAGUCUGCAACUCGACUACGUGAAGUCGGAAUCGCUAGUAAUCGUGGAUCAGAAUGUCACGGUGAAUACGUUCCCGGGUCUU